GGAGGUAUGGCUCAAGAAGCAGAGCAUCUCCCUAGCAAGAGCAGAGCCCUGAGUUCAAAUCCCAGUGCUACCA
Molecule: transfer RNA, 73 nt
Filed under: Dipodomys ordii (Ord's kangaroo rat)
Lineage: Eukaryota; Metazoa; Chordata; Mammalia; Rodentia; Heteromyidae
Rfam family: tRNA
About the family: Transfer RNA (tRNA) molecules are approximately 80 nucleotides in length. Their secondary structure includes four short double-helical elements and three loops (D, anti-codon, and T loops). Further hydrogen bonds mediate the characteristic L-shaped molecular structure. tRNAs have two regions of fundamental functional importance: the anti-codon, which is responsible for specific mRNA codon recognition, and the 3' end, to which the tRNAs corresponding amino acid is attached (by aminoacyl-tRNA synthetases). tRNAs cope with the degeneracy of the genetic code in two manners: having more than one tRNA (with a specific anti-codon) for a particular amino acid; and 'wobble' base-pairing, i.e. permitting non-standard base-pairing at the 3rd anti-codon position.
Source: Rfam by way of RNAcentral